This 60-nucleotide unclassified non-coding RNA is filed under the name synthetic construct. The record is from RNAcentral.
CUGGGAUUCUACGGAAAUAAUAUCGCUUGUGGUGUUAUUUGUAAUUUGCUCUUCUCCAAU